GGCCGCAGAAUUUUAACUGUGCAAAGGUAGCAUAAUCAUUAGUUUUUUAAUUGAAAGCUUGUAUGAAUGGUUGGACAAGGUACCUGCUGUUUCAUUUUAAUAUUUAGAAUUUUAUUUUUGAGUAAAAAAGCUUAAAUUGUUUUGAAAGACGAGAAGACCCUAUAGAUCUUUAUAAUUUUUAUUUACUAAUUACUAAGGUUUUUUUUAUUAUUAAAUAUAAUAUUAUUUUGUUGGGGUGACAUAGAAAUUUAAUUAACUUUCUAUAUUUUAUAUACAUUUAUUUAUGAAUUUUUAUUGAUCCUUUGUUUAAGAUUGAAAAAUUAAGUUACCUUAGGGAUAACAGCGUAAUUUUCUCGGAGAGUUCAUAUCGAUGAGAGAGAUUGCGACCUCGAUGUUGGAUUAA
Molecule: ribosomal RNA, 403 nt
Filed under: Astochia caspica
Lineage: Eukaryota; Metazoa; Arthropoda; Insecta; Diptera; Asilidae
Description: partial large subunit ribosomal RNA
Rfam family: Bacterial large subunit ribosomal RNA
Source: RNAcentral